UACGUAGGGCGCAAGCGUUGUCCGGAAUUAUUGGGCGUAAAGAGCUCGUAGGUGGCGUGUCGCGUCUGCCGUGAAAGCCCAUGGCUUAACUGUGGGUCUGCGGUGGAUACGGGCAGGCUGGAGGCUGGUAGGGGCAAGCGGAAUUCCUGGUGUAGCGGUGAAAUGCGUAGAUAUCAAGAGGAACACCUGAGGUGAAGACGGGUUGCUGGGCCAACACUGACGCUGAGGCGCGAAAGCCAGGGGAGCAAACGGG
Molecule: ribosomal RNA, 253 nt
Filed under: uncultured bacterium
Lineage: Bacteria
Description: partial 16S ribosomal RNA
Rfam family: Bacterial small subunit ribosomal RNA
Source: RNAcentral